Molecule: ribosomal RNA, 474 nt
Filed under: uncultured bacterium
Lineage: Bacteria
Description: bacterial SSU rRNA
Rfam family: Bacterial small subunit ribosomal RNA
Source: RNAcentral
AAUAGAUACCCNAGGUAGUCCUAGCCGUAAACGAUGAACACUAGGCGUAGUCGGUAUCGACCCCGGCUGUGCCGUAGCUAACGCAUUAAGUGUUCCGCCUGGGGAGUACGGCCGCAAGGCUAAAACUCAAAGGAAUUGACGGGGGGCCCGCACAAGCAGCGGAGCGUGUGGUUUAAUUCGUCGCAACGCGAAGAACCUUACCAGGGCUUGACAUGUGGCGGAAAACGGCGGAAACGUCGUCCUCCCGCAAGGGACCGUCAUGCAGGUGUUGCAUGGCUGUCGUCAGCUCGUGUCGUGAGAUGUUGGGUUAAAGUCCCGCAACGAGCGCAAACCCCCGUGGCAUGUUGUAUCUCUCAUGCCAGACUGCCGAGAGAAACUCGGAGGAAGGUGGGGAUGACGCCAAGUCAGCAUGGCCCUUAGUCCUGGGCUACACACACGCUACAAUGGCCGGUACAACGGGUUGCCAAACCGCGA